UACAGAGGUGACUAACGUUGUCCGGAAUUAUUGGGCGUAAAGGGCGCGUAGGUGGUCAGGUAAGUCAGGUCUGAAAGCUCUGGGCUUAACCCAGGAAUUGCAUCUGAUACUGCUUGGCUUGAGUACGGUAGAGGAGGGUGGAAUUCCCAGUGUAGCGGUGAAAUGCGUAGAUAUUGGGAGGAACACCGGUGGCGAAGGCGGCCCUCUGGACCGAAACUGACACUGAAGCGCGAAAGCUAGGGGAGCAAACGGG
This 253-nucleotide ribosomal RNA is filed under the name uncultured bacterium. RNAcentral's name for it is "partial 16S ribosomal RNA". It matches the Rfam family "Bacterial small subunit ribosomal RNA", at positions 524 to 776 of the family's 1533-position model. The record is from RNAcentral.